UGAUGACGAGACGCUAAGGCGUUGAAGCAGUGUAUGUCAGACUUCCAAGAAAAGCUCGCAAUGUCACAAAUAAAGAAUGCCUGUACCAUAACCGACACAGGUGGGUAGGUAGAGUAUACUAAGGGGCGCGAGAUAACUCUCUCUAAGGAACUCGGCAAAAUGACUCCGUAACUUCGGGAGAAGGAGUGCCUUAUUUAUAAGGUUGCAAUAACAAGAUCCAAGCAACUGUUUAUCAAAAACACAGGUCUCCGCUAAGUCGUAAGACGAUGUAUGGGGGCUGACGCCUGCCCAGUGCCAGAAGGUUAAAGAAGUUGGUUAGUGUAUGCGAAGCUGAUGACUGAAGCCCUGGUGAACGGCGGCCGUAACGAUAACGGUCCUAAGGUAGCGAAAUUCCUUGUCGGGUAAGUUCCGACCCGCACGAAAGGCGUAAUGAUUUGGAUACUGUCUCGGAGAGAGGCUCGGUGAAAUAGACUUGUCUGUGAAGAUGCGGACUACCUGCACCAGGACAGAAAGACCCUAUGAAGCUUUACUGUAACUUGAAAUUGGAAUUGGACUUUGCUUGCGCAGUAUAGGUGGGAAGCGUUGAAAAUAUUCUUGCGGGAGUAUUGGAGCUAUCAGUGAGAUACCACUCUUGUAAUGUUAGAUUUCUAACUUUGAACCAUAAUCUGGUCAAAGAACAGUUUCAGGUGGGCAGUUUGACUGGGGCGGUCGCCUCCCAAAUGGUAACGGAGGCGUACAAAGGUUUCCUCUGAACGGAUAGAAAUCGUAUCUAGAGUGUAAAGGCAUAAGGAAGCUUGACUGUGAGACCUACAAGUCGAGCAGGGACGAAAGUCGGUCUUAGUGAUCUGACGGUACUGAGUGGAAAGGCCGUCACUCAACGGAUAAAAGUUACUCUAAGGAUAACAGGCUGAUCUCCCCCAAGAGUUCACAUCGACGGGGAGGUUUGGCACCUCGAUGUCGGCUCAUCGCAUCCUGGGGCGGUAGUACGUCCCAAGGGUUGGGCUGUUCGCCCAUGAAAGCGGUACGCGAGCUGGGUUCAGAACGUCGUGAGACAGUUCGGUCCAUAUCCGGUGUAGGCGCUAGAAUAUUGAGAGGAGCCUUCUUUAGUACGAGAGGACCGAGAAGGACACACCGGUGGUGUACCAGUUAUCGUGCCAACGGUAAACGCUGGGUAGCUAUGUGUGGAGUGGAUAACCGCUGAAAGCAUCUAAGUGAGAAGCCCACCUCGAGAUGAGUA
Molecule: ribosomal RNA, 1237 nt
Filed under: metagenome
Description: bacterial LSU rRNA
Rfam family: Bacterial large subunit ribosomal RNA
Source: RNAcentral